This 668-nucleotide ribosomal RNA is filed under the name uncultured marine microorganism. RNAcentral's name for it is "bacterial SSU rRNA". It matches the Rfam family "Bacterial small subunit ribosomal RNA", at positions 8 to 721 of the family's 1533-position model. The record is from RNAcentral.
AGAGUUUGAUCAUGGCUCAGGAUGAACGCUGGCGGUAUGCCUAACACAUGCAAGUCGAACGAUGUCUUAGGACAUAGUGGCGGACGGGUGAGUAACGCGUGAGAAUCUGCCUCUAGGAUGGGGAUAACGGUUGGAAACGACCGCUAACACCCAAUAUGCCGUAAGGUGAAAAAUUUAUUGCCUGGAGAGGAGCUCGCGUCUGAUUAGCUAGUUGGUGGGGUAAGAGCUCACCAAGGCCUCGAUCAGUAGCUGGUCUGAGAGGAUGAGCAGCCACACUGGGACUGAGACACGGCCCAGACUCCUACGGGAGGCAGCAGUGGGGAAUUUUCCGCAAUGGGCGAAAGCCUGACGGAGCAAUACCGCGUGAGGGAGGAAUGCCUUUGGGUUGUAAACCUCUUUUCUCAGGGAAGAAGAUCUGACGGUACCUGAGGAAUAAGUAUCGGCUAACUCCGUGCCAGCAGCCGCGGUAAUACGGAGGAUGCAAGCGUUAUCCGGAAUCAUUGGGCGUAAAGCGUCCGCAGGUGGUUUCCAAAGUCUGCUGUUAAAGACUGGAGCUCAACUCCGGAACGGCGGUGGAAACUUGGAAACUAGAGUUCGGUAGGGGUAGCAGGAAUUCCCAGUGUAGCGGUGAAAUGCGUAGAUAUUGGGAAGAACAUCGGUGGCGAAGG